Molecule: unclassified non-coding RNA, 315 nt
Filed under: plant metagenome
Description: partial contains 5.8S ribosomal RNA, internal transcribed spacer 2, and large subunit ribosomal RNA
Rfam family: 5.8S ribosomal RNA (bases 1-106)
Source: RNAcentral
GAAAUGCGAUAAUUAAUGUGAAUUGCAGAAUUCAGUGAAUCAUCGAGUCUUUGAACGCACAUUGCGCCCCCCUGGUAUUCCGGGGGGCAUGCCUGUCCGAGCGUCAUUGCUGCCCUCAAGCACGGCUUGUGUGUUGGGCUUCCGUCCCUGGCAACGGGGACGGGCCCAAAAGGCAGUGGCGGCACCAUGUCUGGUCCUCGAGCGUAUGGGGCUUUGUCACCCGCUCCCGUAGGUUCAGCUGGCAGCUAGCCUCGCAACCAAUCUUUUUAACCAGGUUGACCUCGGAUCAGGUAGGGAUACCCGCUGAACUUAAGC